RNAcentral lists this long non-coding RNA (430 nucleotides) under Numida meleagris (helmeted guineafowl). RNAcentral describes it as "lncRNA (ENSNMEG00000004094.1)". Lineage: Eukaryota; Metazoa; Chordata; Aves; Galliformes; Numididae. The record is from RNAcentral.
CCAACAGCGUCACAUUGGAUCCCAACAGCAACACCCCAUCCCAACAGUGUGACUCUUGAAGGCGGCAUCGGAUCCCGACACAACACCUCAUCCCAACAGUGUAACAUCAGAUCCCAACACAGCAACACCUUAAUGCAACACCCCAUCCCAACAGUGCGACUCUUGAAGGCAGCGUUGGAUCCCGACACAACGCCCCAUCCCAACAGCGUCACAUCGGAUCCCAGCAGCAACACCCCAUCCCAACAGCGCGACGCUUGAAGGCGGCAUCGGAUCCCAACACAACGCCCCAUCCCAACAGCGUAACAUCAGAUCCCAACACAGCAACACCCGAAUGCAACAGCCCAUCCCAACAGCGCGACACUUGAAGGCAGCAUCGGAUCCCAACACAACACCCCAUCCCAACAGCGUAACAUCAGAUCCCAACAGCAAC